This 390-nucleotide ribosomal RNA is filed under the name uncultured bacterium. RNAcentral's name for it is "bacterial SSU rRNA". It matches the Rfam family "Bacterial small subunit ribosomal RNA", at positions 29 to 417 of the family's 1533-position model. The record is from RNAcentral.
AUUGAACGCUGGCGGAAUGCUUUACACAUGCAAGUCGAGCGGCAGCGCGGGGGCAACCCUGGCGGCGAGCGGCAAACGGGUGAGUAACAUAUCGGAACGUACCCCGUCGUGGGGGAUAACACAGCGAAAGCUGUGCUAAUACCGCAUACGACCUGAGGGUGAAAGCGGGGGAUUGCAAGACCUCGCGCGAUGGGAGCGGCCGAUAUCGGAUUAGCUUGUUGGUGAGGUAAAGGCUCACCAAGGCGACGAUCCGUAGCUGGUCUGAGAGGAUGAUCCGCCACACUGGAACUGAGACACGGUCCAGACUCCUACGGGAGGCAGCAGUGGGGGAAUUUUUGGACAAUGGGGGGCAACCCUGAUCCAGCCAUGCCGCGUGAGUGAAGAAGGCCU